CAGAAACAAACAAAAAAAGACAGUGAAAAGAAAACAAAAGAGGCGCAUCUCUGUCUUAGGCUCUACACAGGUCUCUGUAUGCAACACAGACCAACCAAACCAACAAUGGCUACAAAAAAAGACAGUGAAAAUAAAACAAAAUUGGCUCUGUAUGCAACACAGACCAACCAAACCAACAAUGGCUCCUGUAUAUUUACAAUUUCCCGAGAAACAAUAAAAUAACAACUAAAAGGCUCUUUCGAUCAACUGUGGGGCCCUUCUAAUGUCUCCGUCGUUGUCAACGUCAUCGACUGCAGACUCGCUUGGUUUUUUUAUGAACCCAUUGAAGCAUACAUAUAUUUUGAUAAUUACACAUAUUCUAUUUUGAUACUAACAAUUAUAUAUUUUUAUACCAAAAACAAA
Molecule: small RNA, 402 nt
Filed under: Drosophila pseudoobscura pseudoobscura
Lineage: Eukaryota; Metazoa; Arthropoda; Insecta; Diptera; Drosophilidae
Description: GA30526
Source: RNAcentral